GAUGAACGCUGGCGGCGUGCCUAAUACAUGCAAGUCGAGCGAACAGACGAGGAGCUUGCUCCUCUGACGUUAGCGGCGGACGGGUGAGUAACACGUGGAUAACCUACCUAUAAGACUGGGAUAACUUCGGGAAACCGGAGCUAAUACCGGAUAAUAUAUUGAACCGCAUGGUUCAAUAGUGAAGGACGGUUUUGCUGUCACUUAUAGAUGGAUCCGCGCCGCAUUAGCUAGUUGGUAAGGUAACGGCUUACCAAGGCGACGAUGCGUAGCCGACCUGAGAGGGUGAUCGGCCACACUGGAACUGAGACACGGUCCAGACUCCUACGGGAGGCAGCAGUAGGGAAUCUUCCGCAAUGGGCGAAAGCCUGACGGAGCAACGCCGCGUGAGUGAUGAGGGUCUUCGGAUCGUAAAACUCUGUUAUUAGGGAAGAACAAAUGUGUAAGUAACUAUGCACGUCUUGACGGUACCUAAUCAGAAAGCCACGGCUAACUACGUG
Molecule: ribosomal RNA, 497 nt
Filed under: uncultured bacterium
Lineage: Bacteria
Description: partial 16S ribosomal RNA
Rfam family: Bacterial small subunit ribosomal RNA
Source: RNAcentral